RNAcentral lists this long non-coding RNA (1044 nucleotides) under Mytilus galloprovincialis (Mediterranean mussel). The record is from RNAcentral. Lineage: Eukaryota; Metazoa; Mollusca; Bivalvia; Mytilida; Mytilidae.
UAACUUUUUUUCACUUAAUUAUUUGAUACAUUAUUGCUCUUUUCCUUAUGAUAUUACAAAUAACAUUAGUUUUUGAUCCUCUAUUUUUAUUUCAUUUAGAAAAUAGGGGGCUCCAUGCUUUAUGUGCCUUUUGAUUUUCUGUUAUGGAUCAUAUAAAUUCAUAUAAUUUGACUUUUGGGGAUAGAUCUAUGGAAGUUUAAAUUUUAUAGGUUUAUGUUUGGUUACAACAAUCAAUUGAUCUUGUCACCAGGAAGGAUAAUUAAAUGUUUAUAUCAUUUGAUGUACUAACCAGAUAAUCGUAUAACUAUUUUAAUUGCCAUUUCCUAUACAUUGUAAUCAUGAUAAUCAGAUAAUGAACUAGAAAUUAGCACUCCUUUUUAGGUGCAAAUUAAUACUGUAUCAUGUCAUAAAUUUUCACAAAAAUUCUAUAAUCAUGCUCUUCUAUUGCCUUUAUUUCUGCAAACACUUAAAAAUCUUACGAAAAGGUUCUUGAAAUGAUCAGGCAUAAAAAUACAUACCUGCCAUAUUAUUAUAAGUCUUUAGUUUUUUCUAAGGCUACACAAGGAGGCUUUAAAUUUCAAAAUACAGGCAAUAACUAACAUGGAGGUAACUGAGGAAUAGUUGAUUAGCUUUAUUUUCUAGUGCUUACAUCUCCCAUCUGCCAUGAAGCGCAGGAGGUACACUGAUUUCAGUUUCUAUUGCAUUUUUUUCUUUCAUUUGUUUAUCUGAUUGUUUAUUUGUCUGUCUAUCUUCAUCUAGUGUGCAAUAUUAUACUAUAAUGCUAUACAGUGACAUCCAUACAGUGAUGCUUUUUAAAAUGAUGUUCUUAUAGAUUGACUUUGUGUUAUUAUUGUUUUAGACAUAUUGAAUGUAAUGUUUUAUUUUUUUCGAAACAGGAUAGUAUUUUAAAAUCCAUGUUUACCAGGAUAAAAUUCAAAUACAUGUAUCAGAAAGAUUUUUCUGCCACACAAUUUUAUGUUUUGGUUUUAAUUUUAAAAACUAAAAACAUCAGUCACAUUGAAUAUACUGGAAGAUUAAAAAAAC